This is a long non-coding RNA of Grammomys surdaster, 225 nucleotides long. RefSeq lists it as uncharacterized. The record is from RefSeq and is a predicted model, not a curated record. The transcript has 3 exons. Lineage: Eukaryota; Metazoa; Chordata; Mammalia; Rodentia; Muridae.
AGUUAGUUCUGCCUUUCAUCUUGGAGCCUCUUAGGAGAUACAGGCCAGAAAAAGCCAACUUUUCCUCCAAUUGGGAGAUCAAUUCCCUCCAACAGAAUCUCAUCAGUGUAGAGACACAGAUUGUAUCCUUCAUGGGCAUUACCUCAUGUAUGCUGCAUAGUGACUGAAUUUAUUGUCAUGUAGCCCCCUCUUGCAACACCAUGUACAAAAAUAACUCAAGGCCAC